GAUGAACGCUGGCGGCGUGCCUAAUACAUGCAAGUCGAGCGAACGUACGAGAAGCUUGCUUCUGUGAUGUUAGCGGCGGACGGGCGAGUAACACGUUGAUAACCUACCUAUAAAACGGGGUUAACUUCGGGAAACGGGAGCAAUUACCGAAUAAUAUUUGGAACAGCAUGGUUCAAAAGUUAAAUACGGUCUUGCGAUCCUGUGUGGCAGGGGCCGCGCUGCAUUAGCUAGUUGGUAAGGUAACGGCUUACCAAGGCAACGAUGCAUAGCCGACCUGAGAGGGUGAUCGGCCACACUGGAACUGAGACACGGUCCAGACUCCUACGGGAGGCAGCAGUAGGGAAUCUUCCGCAAUGGGCGAAAGCCUGACGGAGCAACGCCGCGUGAGUGAUGAAGGUCUUCGGAUCGUAAAACUCUGUUAUUAGGGAAGAACAUAUGUGUAAGUAACUGUGCACAUCUUGACGGUACCUAAUCAGAAAGCCACGGCUAACUACGUG
Molecule: ribosomal RNA, 497 nt
Filed under: uncultured bacterium
Lineage: Bacteria
Description: partial 16S ribosomal RNA
Rfam family: Bacterial small subunit ribosomal RNA
Source: RNAcentral